GAUGAACGCUAGCGAAAGUUACGCUAAUACCGCAUACGAUCUACGGAUGAAAGCGGGGGAUCGCAAGACCUCGCGCGAUUGGAGCGGCCGAUAUCAGAUUAGGUAGUUGGUGAGGUAAAGGCUCACCAAGCCAACGAUCUGUAGCUGGUCUGAGAGGACGACCAGCCACACUGGAACUGAGACACGGUCCAGACUCCUACGGGAGGCAGCAGUGGGGAAUUUUGGACAAUGGACGCAAGUCUGAUCCAGCCAUUCCGCGUGCAGGAUGAAGGCCCUCGGGUUGUAAACUGCUUUUGUACGGAACGAAAAGGUUUGUCUUAAUACGAUGAGCUCAUGACGGUACCGUAAGAAUAAGCACCGGCUAACUACGUG
RNAcentral lists this ribosomal RNA (372 nucleotides) under uncultured bacterium. Its description in RNAcentral is "bacterial SSU rRNA". It matches the Rfam family "Bacterial small subunit ribosomal RNA", at positions 141 to 507 of the family's 1533-position model. The record is from RNAcentral.